Molecule: long non-coding RNA, 1396 nt
Filed under: Anas platyrhynchos platyrhynchos (common mallard)
Lineage: Eukaryota; Metazoa; Chordata; Aves; Anseriformes; Anatidae
Description: lncRNA (ENSAPLG00000019094.1)
Source: RNAcentral
UGUUGAAGUACCAAUUGGUCCAAAAAGCAGGAGAGUUGCUGUAUAGCAGAACCCUUCAAGCAUUCCCUAGAGAACGGAAAGCCACCACUCAAGUCCACCACCAGUGUGCUUUGAUUAACAGGUGAGGGAAUAGGUAGUAUCUCCUAUUCUCUCUGGUGAAGACUGCAAAUGCUGGGCAUCAGAGUGGUGCUCCUCCUGAAGCAGGAGGAACUGCUGUUUGGUGUCUCCCACCCACAACGAGCACAGCAAGGUCUGGCUCCUUGUGUGAGGAGGGUGCUCACCAGUCUGGGAGAAGCUGGACAGUUCAAUUGCUGAUAUGUUAGAUAGUGACUAAAAGAAAUGUAAGAAAAUGGAGAGAAAAUAUCCCAUUUAGCUUAAAAAUAAUAAAUUGUAGGAAGGUACUAUAGGCAGGCAGAUCGUGACAUGCUCUGAUGCCUGCUACCCCGCAGCAGGAUCAUCAGCCCUUAUUUGAAAUGAUCUGUAUUCUGGAUUUCCAAUGGAAUAAACCAGCUAGUUACCAGUGUGCCAAGUGAGAUCGAUUAAGAAUUGAAACAGUUUGUGUCUGCAGAUGUGCUGUGCACAGUCAAUUAUACAGGCAUCAAUAUUUCAUUAAAUCAAGACUAGUGUUUGUAUGGACACUUUGAUUACAGAUGUUAUUCAGUUUAGAGUUUUUCUGGCGGUCCUUUUGUUUGCUACAGGCAUACAUGAGCACAGCACAGUUUCUUUGUGCUUGGGCAGGCAGAAAUUGGGUGGGAGGCCUGUACCUCAGGAGAGGGAAAGGAAGGUUUAGGGAAGAGUUCCUACAAUUAUUUCAGUAUGUUACAAAAGUGAUCCAAGUCCCAGGGGAAUGGGAAGGGAAGCUGCAAUGCUGCAGUGCUCUGCAACCUACUGGAGAUGUGACCCAGGUCACUUCAGGCAAAGAAGGAAAACAUCAUUCUUGCAUUUCAGGUAGAUGCAGGUUGUGGCCUCCUUUAAGUAAAGGUUUCCUGGCUGUGGGUUCCAAACAGGGAUGGCUGCUUCAUUUUCGUCCAGAGACUGCAACCAAACAGUGUUUCCACUUGAAGUAUGGAUGUCUACCUGCCUGAUGAGACCUCUUUACACCACAUCUUGGCAAGCUGCACCAUGGCUGAGUGCUGGUGGUGGUUGAGUGCCUGUGCACACGAGGGCUUUGUCUACCUGAAGCUCCCCUGCUGAUUUUCUGACUUCCAGCUGAUCCUUUGGAAGCGGAGGCUUAAGUAUUGAACUCUGUAUUUAUUUCCCUUCUCUGAUUGCACCAUGCUGUGAAAUAUAUUUGAAUAGAUAACAUCUGGUGUGGCUUCCAUAGCCAGGUUAUGCAACAUGGGUAAUGUGCAUGCAUAAUGGGCUAUUCCUGUAAUAAAUUUGUGUAAGUAUACCA